This 57-nucleotide transfer RNA is filed under the name Camelus bactrianus (Bactrian camel). It matches the Rfam family "tRNA", at positions 8 to 63 of the family's 71-position model. From Rfam's summary of the family: Transfer RNA (tRNA) molecules are approximately 80 nucleotides in length. Their secondary structure includes four short double-helical elements and three loops (D, anti-codon, and T loops). The record is from Rfam by way of RNAcentral. RNAcentral also lists the same sequence under 2 other names. Lineage: Eukaryota; Metazoa; Chordata; Mammalia; Artiodactyla; Camelidae.
UAGCUCAGUGGUAGAGCUCAUGCUUAGCAUGCACGAGGUCCUGGGUUCAAUCCCCAG